Molecule: ribosomal RNA, 253 nt
Filed under: uncultured bacterium
Lineage: Bacteria
Description: partial 16S ribosomal RNA
Rfam family: Bacterial small subunit ribosomal RNA
Source: RNAcentral
UACGGAGGGUGUAAACGUUGUUCGGAUUUAUUGGGCGUAAAGCGCACGCAGGCGGUUUGUCAGGUCGGGUGUGAAAUCCCAGGGCUCAACCCUGGACUUGCGCUCGAAACCGGCAGACUCGAAUUCAGCAGGGGAAGGUGGAAUUCCUGGUGUAGGGGUGAAAUCCGUAGAUAUCAGGAGGAAUACCCAUGGCGAAGGCAGCCUUCUGGGCUUGAAUUGACGCUGAGGUGCGAAAGCGUGGGGAGCAAACAGG